Molecule: long non-coding RNA, 1019 nt
Filed under: Bos indicus x Bos taurus (hybrid cattle)
Lineage: Eukaryota; Metazoa; Chordata; Mammalia; Artiodactyla; Bovidae
Description: lncRNA (ENSBIXG00000004219.1)
Source: RNAcentral
CUAGUGUUGAAAAUCACAGAAAAUAUGGUGAGGCCCCUCUGCCAUUCUUUUCCUUCCUUUUGUAUUAACCCUAGGAUGAAAUGUUUAGGAAUGCAGUAGGAGAGACAAACUAGCCAGGAAAUCAAUAUGCAAAAAAUAAGGUCUUAAAUGUUUUCUUGCUGUUCUUUAAAUAUAAAACAAAACAUCAUGAGUAAGUAAAGAAACAAGGCUAUUUCUCCCUGACACAGCCUGGGCCUCACUGCUCUGCAUUCUGACCACAAGACAGAGAUGCAUCGAAAAGUCAGCCCAACAGAAGGAGGUAGACUGAAUGAACAACUGAAGGGCACUGAGUUCUGUGACAGAAGCUUUCAACACUACAUAACACCAUCAAUUAAUUCCAUAUAGCCAACUCAGAAAUUCUGAGCAAAACAAAUCUUGAACUCUUUAAGUAAAAGAAUUGAACGAUAAAAGCUAUAGUGGCAAAAUAAAAAUUGUCUACCAAAGGUGUAACAAUUGCCAUUGGAUAAUGCCUCCACCUACUUAGAUCUCCACACUUUAGGUCUCAGCAUCUGAGGGCUGCUAACACUUGAUACCUGGGGACACGGAGCAGAAGAAAAGGAGGUCAUCACUGAGAACUCCCCUCCUUCACACAAACAUGCACUGGGAGAGGGUGGGGAUCCUGGAAGAUGAAUGAUUUUGCAAACAAAGAGACAAGUCCCUCCACAGUAGAAUUCUGAAGUUCUCAGGAUGUGGUUAGCCAGCCCUCACGGGUGAGGCCCAGAGAGGUUGGGUUGAGGACACUGUCAUUCCAGAGGAAAAGUGCUACUGGAGGUGAUAACCACCUUGUGAGUGAGGUGGUGCUGGAAAGACAAACAAUUAAUUACCUUGGAAUUAGAAUCUUCAGACCUACAUGCACCAGAAAAAGAAGCAGGGUUCCUGGUGGGGAUAUUGGCACAGCCAGUGCAAGACUAUAAAAGUGAAAGGGAAGUCUCUCAGUCAUGUCUGACUCUUUGCAAUCCCAAGCACUGUAGGCCUACUAG